UCGAACGAUGAAGUCCUAGCUUGCUAGGAUGGAUUAGUGGCGCACGGGUGAGUAAUAUAUAGUUAAUCUGCCCUACACAGAGGAACAACAGUUGGAAACGACUGCUAAUACCUCAUACUCCUAUUUGACAUAAGUUAAAUAGGGAAAGUCUUUUCGGUGUAGGAUGAGACUAUAUCGUAUCAGCUAGUUGGUAAGGUAAUGGCUUACCAAGGCUAUGACGCGUAACUGGUCUGAGAGGAUGAUCAGUCACAUUGGAACUGAGACACGGUCCAAACUCCUACGGGAGGCAGCAGUAAGGAAUAUUGCGCAAUGGGGGAAACCCUGACGCAGCAACGCCGCGUGGAGGAUGACACUUUUCGGAGCGUAAACUCCUUUUAUCAGGAAAGAAUAAUGACGGUACCUGAUGAAUAAGCACCGGCUAACUCCGUGCCAGCAGCCGCGGUAAUACGGGGGGUGCAAGCGUUACUCGGAAUCACUGGGCGUAAAGGACGCGUAGGCGGAUUAUCAAGUCUUUUGUGAAAUCUAGUGGCUUAACCACUAAACUGCUUAGGAAACUGAUAGUCUAGAGUAGGGGAGAGGUAGAUGGAAUUCUUGGUGUAGGGGUAAAUCCGUAGAGAUCAAGAAGAAUACCCAUUGCGAAAGCGAUCUGCUGGAACCUAACUGACGCUGAGGCGUGAAAGCGUGGGUAGCAAACAGGAUUAGAUACCCUGGUAGUCCACGCCCUAAACGAUGUAUACUAGUUGUUGCUUUGCUAGUCAAGGCAGUAAUGCAGCUAACGCAUUAAGUAUACCGCCUGGGGA
RNAcentral lists this ribosomal RNA (800 nucleotides) under uncultured Campylobacterales bacterium. Its description in RNAcentral is "bacterial SSU rRNA". It matches the Rfam family "Bacterial small subunit ribosomal RNA", at positions 62 to 879 of the family's 1533-position model. The record is from RNAcentral. Lineage: Bacteria; Pseudomonadati; Campylobacterota; Epsilonproteobacteria; Campylobacterales.